RNAcentral lists this ribosomal RNA (433 nucleotides) under uncultured bacterium. RNAcentral's name for it is "partial 16S ribosomal RNA". It matches the Rfam family "Bacterial small subunit ribosomal RNA", at positions 29 to 507 of the family's 1533-position model. The record is from RNAcentral.
AACGAACGCUGGCGGCAUGCCUAACACAUGCAAGUCGAACGAGACCGUCGGGUCUUUUUGCGCACGUGUGCUUAACGCGUGGGAACCUGCCCUUAGGUUCGCUAUACCUCCCCGAAAGGUGUGCUAAUACCGCAUAAUCUCUUCCGACCAAAGAUCUAUCGCGUUUGGAUGGGCCCGCGUUGGAUUAGCCAGUUGGUAGUGUAAUAGCCUAUCAAGGCGAGGAUGCAUAGCUGGUCUGAGAGGAUGAUCAGCCACACUGGACAUGAGACACGGACCAGAAUCGUACGGGAGGGAGCAGUGGGGAAUAUUGGACGAUGGGGGAAGGUCUGAUCAAGCAAUGCCGGGUGAGAGAGGAAGGGGGUAGGGUUGUAAAGCUCUUUUAGACGGGAUGAUAAUGACAGUACCGGGAGAAGAAGCACCGGCUAACUACGUG